CUUUUGUUGUAAAAGCACCCGGUACCAGAUAUUCAAUUGCAGUUGAACCUGACACUGGCAAUCUACGAACCGUUCUAAAAUGAAGAAAGCUAUCGUUAUCCUCCUCGUUGUUCUGAUUGCUUUCCAAAUGGCGGAUGCGCAAGGUUCAGUACCAGUAAACCAGCCUUGCUACCACACUCAUCAAUGCGCCCGCAAAAUGAGGUGUUGUCUACGCAAUGGUUACCAAUGCACACCUCCGUGGUUAGGAUCCGGAUGUUACGAGGAGAAGAUCUAGAAGCUCUAUUACCUUGGCGAUUAGAAACAACAUCGUUAAAUGUGAGAAGUAAUACAGAUGUAAUAUUUUGUUUAUUUCAACAUAUUAAAAUGGAUAGUGCCUUUUUUCAUUCUCCAUGAAAAAACUGUUUGGACUCUGUCGAAAGUGAAAUAUCAUGAAUAAAAGCAAAUGGAUCGCCAGUAA
This is a long non-coding RNA of Lineus longissimus, 457 nucleotides long. RefSeq lists it as uncharacterized. The transcript is spliced from 3 exons. NCBI's taxonomy places the organism in Eukaryota, Metazoa, Nemertea, Pilidiophora, Heteronemertea, Lineidae. The record is from RefSeq and is a predicted model, not a curated record.